Molecule: long non-coding RNA, 2834 nt
Organism: Nerophis lumbriciformis (worm pipefish)
Lineage: Eukaryota; Metazoa; Chordata; Actinopteri; Syngnathiformes; Syngnathidae
Source: RefSeq, a predicted model, not a curated record
CUUCAUCUGAAGUUAAUGUUUUGAUGCCUGUGUUAAAUAAGUUGUAUUAUACUACAUCUUACUAAGCUGUUUUUAACAAGCUGUCUUCUACUAUGUUAUUUGAAGAAGUAAAUGUUUAUUGUUUUCUAAUAAGCACAACUGCGAAUUGUUGGUAUAGUUGUUACCUAGUUCGCUAGCAUUGCUACAGAGAACCUACACUAACAACUGCUGGCUACACAAGGACCUCUGGACCAGGUGUUCUUCAGGGCUUUAACAUUUUUCACCAUUCUCCUGUGACUCUUCAAUAGCCAGUCACCGCCAACUGAAGUACCACUAAAGGGGAAAUAAAGGGAGGAGUUCAGCACUCACUGCGCUGGUGACUGACAGGAAGCGGUCAUAGCUGAUGAGGACGAUGCUGAAGACUGAUGCGGAGCAAAGCAGUGUGUGCAGAAGCCAAAGCACGGCCCCAGCCACCCAGAGAGCUCAACCCAAAACAGCAAGUGUGGCGCCCAGGGAACAAGGGACCACUGGCCCCACGCAGCCAGAUACUCCCUACAGCCGGACGGGAAGACCGCCCCCUGCCCCACCAGCAACCGGGCCUAAACCCCACCGCACGGAGAGUUCGGCGGGGCUCGCCCAAGGCUGCCUCAUUUAAGUUGACCGCCACAGGACCGCCCAGCAUGGGGCCACGGGAACCACCCACCCCACCUGCAGGGAUCCCAAUGAUGGAGAUGGUACAUCCAGCAACUGCCCUGGCGGAUCCUACCCCUGAGGGAAGAAUUAUUUUUUUUUAAAAACACGCUGACACACAAGGUCAAUACCCGAGCAACUGGCCGACUUGUAAGACUCAGAGCUUUUGUCUACAUCAUGCUCUUAAACUGAAGACAACUGAUAAAAACUAUACAGUGUAAAUUUAUAGUGUAAUGCAGUGGUUCUUAACCUUGUUGGAGGUACCGAACCCCACCAGUUUCAUAUGCGCAUUCACCGAACCCUUAAUUAGUGAAAAAUAAAAUGUGUUUUUUUUUUUCAAAUUCAAGACAAAGUUAUAUGUUUUUGGUAACACUUUAGUAUGGGGAACAUAUUCUAAGUAACAAAGACUUAAUUUACAGUUAUUUGGACACUAGGGGAACCUAUUCUAAGUAAUAAAGACUUAAUUUAGAGUUAUUUGGUUAGGGUUAGGGUCAGGGUUAGAGGGUUAGGGUUAUAAUAAGGCCAUGCCGAAUAAGGCAUUAAUAAGUACUUAAUAAUGACUAGUUAAGAGCCAAUAUGUUACUAAUUUGCACGUUAAUAAGCAACUAAUUAAUGGUGAAUAUGUUCCCCAUACUAAAGUGUUACCAUGUUUUUUUUACUGGUACAUAAAAUGAACCAUGCAUGAACAUCACCUUGUUCAAACAACAAAACCAACACAGUGCAUAAACUCACAACAAAUUACACACCUGCAAAUCAGUCAGCUGUUGCCGUAUCCGUAAUACGCCGAUAGAGAGAAGUUUUUAUUUACACGAUGAGUCGGGUGUGUUUUGACCUCCGCCGAACCCCUGAGGCCGACUCACCGAACCCCUAGGGUUCGAUCGAACCCAGGUUAAGAACCACUGGUGUAAUGUAAUCAUAAUAUAUAAUAAUAAUACAAGUGACCAUUUAUAAAAGGAUAUACACUUUUAUUUAUCAUAACUGUAGAAUUGUUUACCAUUAUACUGUAAUUGGAAGGUAAAUAACUUUGAUAUCCUAAAUAACGAAACAAACAACAAAAUAAAUGGACUCAUUUCUGUAAGCAAACAUUUAAUUUAAAUAAAUAUUAAAAAUAUUAGUGCUUUUUUUUUCCAGUUGAAAAAAACGAGGUCAGACGUUGACUUUUUGUUUUAUUGCCAUCAUGUGAUCACGGGAUUCUCGCUCGUUCGUCCGUGUUGAUGGGCUCAUAUCCCCCAUCCAAUUUGAAGCUAAAAUAUUACCACAACGGAACAUGUUGCUUUUGUAAUUAUAUUGUUUUCCUCUUAAUUGUUGUUACUUUGUGGCACUUCUCACCAGCGAGUCAGGAAUAGGGAAGCUGUCUGUGCUUCUUGUGUGUGUAAAGCUGGCGCCCUGCUCUCCGCCCACUGAGACAAAGAUCGUGAAUGACUGAAAAGAGGAGUCACUGUGUUAAUUUUACUGUUUAAUAAAAGUGCUCAGGUGCUGAAGUAGAUGCGUCUUUCUUCCAGUUUGAAGCGAGUGACGAACAAUUGCAAGGUUCAACAAUCUGAUUGCCGGUAACAGCGGAGAAAUUAAAACUCAGUCUUUUGCGGUUAUUCAUCGCUCUAAUUAAAACCUGGAUGUCGAUUCGAUGUCGAUUAAUCGUGCAGCCCUAUUAGACGAUUUGCCUCUGCGGUGAAUAGUCGAAUCAGACUCUUGCGAAUCGAAUCGUCGAAUAUCAGACUAUUUGAAGACAGCCCUAAAAAAAGAUUUGUGUUUUUCAUACCUACCAUUGUUCUCUCUGUUGUAGUCCCUGCAGUGGUUAUCGCAUUUUCCGGACCAUAGGGCGCACCAGAUUAUAAGGCGCACUGCCGAUGAGCGGGUCUAGUCAGGUCUAUUUUCGUACAAAAGGCACACCGGAUUAUAGGGCGCAUUAAAGGGGUCAUAUUAUUAUUAUUUUUUUCUAAAUUGAAAACACUUUCCUGUGGUCAACAUAACAUGUGAUGGUGGUUCUUUGGUCAAAAUGUUGCAUAGAUUAUGUUUUACAGAUCAUCUUCAAGCCGCUUUUUGUCAGUCGCUUCAGGAUUCGCCAUUUUAUGGGCGGUCUUAUUUACGUGGCUCACCUUCGACAGCGUCUUUUCUCCGUCAUCUUUGUUGUAGCGGUGUAGCGUGCAAGGACGGGAAUGGAAGAA